RNAcentral lists this ribosomal RNA (492 nucleotides) under uncultured bacterium. Its description in RNAcentral is "partial 16S ribosomal RNA". It matches the Rfam family "Bacterial small subunit ribosomal RNA", at positions 29 to 507 of the family's 1533-position model. The record is from RNAcentral.
AGUGAACGCUGGCGGUAGGCCUAACACAUGCAAGUCGAACGGCAGCACAGUAAGAGCUUGCUCUUACGGGUGGCGAGUGGCGGACGGGUGCGGAAUACAUCGGAAUCUACUUUUUCUUGGGUGCUAACGUAGGGAAACUUACGCUAAUACCGCAUACGACCUACGGGUGAAAGCAGGGGAUCUUCGGACCUUGCGCGAUCCAAUGAGCCGAUGUCGGAUUAGCUAGUUGGCGGGGUAAAGGCCCACCAAGGCGACGAUCCGUAGCUGGUCUGAGAGGAUGAUCAGCCACACUGGAACUGAGACACGGUCCAGACUCCUACGGGAGGCAGCAGUGGGGAAUAUUGGACAAUGGGCGCAAGCCUGAUCCAGACAUACCGCGUGGGUGAAGAAGGCCUUCGGGUUGUAAAGCCCUUUUGUUGGGAAAGAAAAGCAGCAGGUUAAUACCCCGCUGUUCUGACGGUACCCAAAGAAUAAGCACCGGCUAACUUCGUG